RNAcentral lists this ribosomal RNA (560 nucleotides) under Serratia sp. 8-1. RNAcentral's name for it is "bacterial SSU rRNA". It matches the Rfam family "Bacterial small subunit ribosomal RNA", at positions 94 to 650 of the family's 1533-position model. The record is from RNAcentral. Lineage: Bacteria; Pseudomonadati; Pseudomonadota; Gammaproteobacteria; Enterobacterales; Yersiniaceae.
AGCGGCGGACGGGUGAGUAAUGUCUGGGAAACUGCCCGAUGGAGGGGGAUAACUACUGGAAACGGUAGCUAAUACCGCAUAACGUCUUCGGACCAAAGUGGGGGACCUUCGGGCCUCACACCAUCGGAUGUGCCCAGAUGGGAUUAGCUAGUAGGUGAGGUAAUGGCUCACCUAGGCGACGAUCCCUAGCUGGUCUGAGAGGAUGACCAGCCACACUGGAACUGAGACACGGUCCAGACUCCUACGGGAGGCAGCAGUGGGGAAUAUUGCACAAUGGGCGCAAGCCUGAUGCAGCCAUGCCGCGUGUGUGAAGAAGGCCUUCGGGUUGUAAAGCACUUUCAGCGAGGAGGAAGGGUUCGGUGUUAAUAGCACCGUUCAUUGACGUUACUCGCAGAAGAAGCACCGGCUAACUCCGUGCCAGCAGCCGCGGUAAUACGGAGGGUGCAAGCGUUAAUCGGAAUUACUGGGCGUAAAGCGCACGCAGGCGGUUUGUUAAGUCAGAUGUGAAAUCCCCGAGCUUAACUUGGGAACUGCAUUUGAAACUGGCAAGCUAGAGUCUU